RNAcentral lists this long non-coding RNA (963 nucleotides) under Medicago truncatula (barrel medic). Its description in RNAcentral is "lncRNA gene46778". Lineage: Eukaryota; Viridiplantae; Streptophyta; Magnoliopsida; Fabales; Fabaceae. The record is from RNAcentral.
CGUGAAUUAAAAUUCUGGAAAAAGGGGCAAAGCUUCUUCAUCUUCAACCUCUUGAUUUUCAUUGUAACCAAAAAAAAACCUCUUGAUUUUCAUAAAAUCAUCCAAUUAAAUCCUCUUUUCUCUAAUCUCUUCCACAUCCAUAGUUAAUUCUUCUUGUACCUUCUUCAAAUUAAAGGGCUCAAUCAACAUGUGUUCUAAAAGGUGAGUAUUUUUUCUCUCAAAAUCAAAUUUUGAAACUCCAAAUCAAUUUCCGUACGGUACAGCUUCGUGUCUGAUUUUGUGAAUAAAUUCUAAUGGAUCUUUGAAUUCAUCUUAAGUUGGAUACUAAAUUGGUGCUGGAGGUAUAGUUGGAGAUGAAAUUGGGUGAUUUCGACCUAAUACACUAUUUUUCAACAGACCUACGCUUUUAUUUUCUCAUCACUGUUGAUACUGUUCUGAAGAAAUGAGAAUUAAAGUGUAUGCAGGUUUAGUUUUUCAAUUAAUAAAUGAAGGAUUCGUUUUUUUUUUCUUUCUUUCUGGAUUGGAUUGGAAGAUAUGAAGAUUGCUAUGAAGCAUGGAGAUGAAGAUAUGAAGACUCACGUGCUUUCUGGGUUUAAUUUUCCUUUCUUACCUGAAUUUGAUGUUAUAGAGGAAGAAGAGAAGAAGACCAAGCGCUUCUCUCCUUAAUUCUUUCUUUUUUUAUUAUUUUAAUUCUACAUAUACACUUGUGGCUUUUACAUUUAUUUUAAAUUCAAAAAGUAGAUAGUUGGCGAUUUUUUAAUUGAUGUGGCGUGACACAUAAGUUUGACUAAGUUAAAAUUGAGGUUUUGCAAAAAGGGAUAACAUGGGGGGUCACUUUUGUCAUUUUUUUUAAUAGGGGGCCCAAAUUGCAACUUUUGCAAACUUAGAGGGUUAAAAGUACGUUUAAGCCUAAAAUAUUCUCUUGUUUUUACAAAUUGGCAAAUACAUGUAAAAUCAUUAAAC